RNAcentral lists this ribosomal RNA (469 nucleotides) under uncultured bacterium. RNAcentral describes it as "partial 16S ribosomal RNA". It matches the Rfam family "Bacterial small subunit ribosomal RNA", at positions 28 to 507 of the family's 1533-position model. The record is from RNAcentral.
GACGAACGCUGGCGGCGUGCUUAACACAUGCAAGUCGAACGGAAAGGCCCUGCUUGCAGGGUGCUCGAUUGGCGAACGGGUGGGUAACACGUGGGUGAUCUGCCCCUUACUUUGGGAUAAGCCUGGGAAACUGGGUCUAAUACUGGAUAGGACCAUGCUGGAGGUGGUGUGGUGGAAAGUUUAGUUACGGUAUGGGAUGAGCUCGCGGCCUAGCAGCUUGUUGGUGGGGUAUUGGCUUACCAAGUCGUCGACGGGUCGCCGGCCGGAGAGGGUGGACGGCCACAUUGGGACUGUGAUACGGACCAGCCUCCUACGGGAGGCAGCAGUGGGGCAUAUUGCACUAUGGGCGCAAGCCUGAUGCAGUGACGCCGCGUGGGGGAUGACGGCCUUCGGGUUGUAGGCUCCUUUCGGCCAUGUCGACGCCCUUGUGGUGACGGUAGUGGUAGAAGAAGCACCGGCUAACUACGUG